RNAcentral lists this microRNA precursor (62 nucleotides) under Bos taurus (domestic cattle). RNAcentral's name for it is "Bta-Mir-3431_pre stem-loop". Lineage: Eukaryota; Metazoa; Chordata; Mammalia; Artiodactyla; Bovidae. The record is from RNAcentral.
CCUCAGUCAGCCUUGUGGAUGUAUGUUCUGCAGACCUGACAUCUAGAGGACUGACUGAAAUU